GGUGAGAUGGCCGAGUGGUUAUGGCGCUGCGUUCAGGUCUACCUGAAUCCUAGUAGGAUCCUAUCUAUAGGGUAUAAAAAUUUCGCAGUGGAGCAAUCCGCGUGGGUUCGAGUCCCACUCUCAUCA
Daldinia bambusicola is the source of this 126-nucleotide non-coding RNA. Lineage: Eukaryota; Fungi; Ascomycota; Sordariomycetes; Xylariales; Hypoxylaceae. The record is from the annotation of a GenBank genome assembly.